RNAcentral lists this ribosomal RNA (422 nucleotides) under uncultured bacterium. RNAcentral describes it as "bacterial SSU rRNA". It matches the Rfam family "Bacterial small subunit ribosomal RNA", at positions 355 to 774 of the family's 1533-position model. The record is from RNAcentral.
UAGGGAAUCUUGGUCAAUGGGCGCAAGCCUGAACCAGCCAUGCCGCGUGCAGGAUGAAGGCCCUACGGGUCGUAAACUGCUUUUAAUCGGGAAGAAAAAGUCUGUUUAGACAGGCCUUGACGGUACCGAUUGAAUAAGGGCCGGCUAACUCCGUGCCAGCAGCCGCGGUAAUACGGAGGGCCCGAGCGUUAUCCGGAUUCACUGGGUUUAAAGGGUGCGCAGGCGGUCGAGUAAGUCAGUGGUGAAAUCCUUCGGCUCAACCGGAGAAUUGCCAUUGAAACUACUUGACUUGAGUGUAGUCGAGGCAGGCGGAAUGUAGCAUGUAGCGGUGAAAUGCAUAGAUAUGCUACAGAACACCGAUUGCGAAAGCAGCUUGCUAGGCUACUACUGACGCUGAGGCACGAAAGCGUGGUUAGCAAACA